This 699-nucleotide ribosomal RNA is filed under the name uncultured bacterium. Its description in RNAcentral is "bacterial SSU rRNA". It matches the Rfam family "Bacterial small subunit ribosomal RNA", at positions 8 to 696 of the family's 1533-position model. The record is from RNAcentral.
AGAGUUUGAUCCUGGCUCAGAUUGAACGCUGGCGGCAUGCCUAACACAUGCAAGUCGAACGGUAACGACGGGAGCUUGCUCCCGGGCGACGAGUGGCGGACGGGUGAGUAAUACUUAGGAAUCUGCCCAGUAGUGGGGGACAACUCGAGGAAACUCGAGCUAAUACCGCAUACGCCCUACGGGGGAAAGCGGAGGAUCUUUCGGGACUUCGCGCUAUUGGAUGAGCCUAAGUCGGAUUAGCUUGUUGGUGGGGUAAAGGCCUACCAAGGCGACGAUCUGUAGCUGGUCUGAGAGGACGAUCAGCCACACUGGGACUGAGACACGGCCCAGACUCCUACGGGAGGCAGCAGUGGGGAAUAUUGGACAAUGGGGGCAACCCUGAUCCAGCAAUGCCGCGUGUGUGAAGAAGGCCUGCGGGUUGUAAAGCACUUUCAGUAGAGAAGAAAUGCCCAUGGUUAAUACCCGUGGGUCUUGACGUAACCUACAGAAGAAGCACCGGCUAACUCCGUGCCAGCAGCCGCGGUAAUACGGAGGGUGCGAGCGUUAAUCGGAAUUACUGGGCGUAAAGCGCGCGUAGGCGGUUUGGUCAGUCGGAUGUGAAAGCCCUAGGCUCAACCUGGGAAUGGCAUUCGAUACUGCCUGACUAGAGUAUGGUAGAGGGAAGUGGAAUUUCCGGUGUAGCGGUGAAAUGCGUAGAUA